Molecule: ribosomal RNA, 242 nt
Filed under: uncultured bacterium
Lineage: Bacteria
Description: partial 16S ribosomal RNA
Rfam family: Bacterial small subunit ribosomal RNA
Source: RNAcentral
UAGGUUGCAAGCGUUGUCCGGAUCUACUGGGUGUAAAGGGCGUGUAGGCGGAGGUGCAAGUUGGGAGUGAAAUCCAUGGGCUCAACCUAUGAACUGCUCUCAAAACUGUAUCCCUUGAGUAUCGGAGAGGCAAGCGGAAUUCCUAGUGUAGCGGUGAAAUGCGUAGAUAUUAGGAGGAACACCAGUGGCGAAGGCGGCUUGCUGGACAACAACUGACGCUGAGGCGCGAAAGCGUGGGGAGC